AAUGCAGAUAUAAGAAGCGACGAAAUUUUGAGUCGUGACAAAAGAGCGAGACCUAGAUGUAGACGUAAUAAAAGAUGUGUUACUACCAGAAACUGUUGUAAUUAUAGACAAUAUUGUAGCGGAGGACGAUGUAAGACCAGAAAUUUGGACAUUUUGUAGAGGCAGGGCAUGGCUUGUUCGUGUUCCCUACAAACAGAACCUCGCCAUAAUUUCACUUCUGGUGGAUCCGUUGUUUCACGAACAUGUCUUGCAUAACUCUUUGAUUAUAUAUUAAAAAUUUCAACCGUU
Long non-coding RNA from Mytilus californianus (California mussel), 288 nucleotides. RefSeq lists it as uncharacterized. The record is from RefSeq and is a predicted model, not a curated record. Lineage: Eukaryota; Metazoa; Mollusca; Bivalvia; Mytilida; Mytilidae. The transcript is spliced from 2 exons.